GGGCAUGUGGUGUAGUUGGUUAUCACGCUCGCUUAGCAUUUGUGUAUUCAACUGGCUGAAACUGCGAGAGGGGUCCGGUUCAAUCCCGGACAUGUCCA
Molecule: non-coding RNA, 98 nt
Organism: Cerioporus squamosus
Lineage: Eukaryota; Fungi; Basidiomycota; Agaricomycetes; Polyporales; Polyporaceae
Source: the annotation of a GenBank genome assembly